GACGAACGCUGGCGGCGUGCUUAACACAUGCAAGUCGAACGGAAAGGCUCCAGCUUGCUGGAGUACUCGAGUGGCGAACGGGUGAGUAACACGUGGGCAAUCUGCCCUGCACUCUGGGAUAAGCCUGGGAAACUGGGUCUAAUACUGGAUAGGACCUUUCUCCUCAUGGGGUUUGGUGGAAAGUUUUUCGGUGCAGGAUGAGCCCGCGGCCUAUCAGCUUGUUGGUGGGGUAAUGGCCUACCAAGGCGACGACGGGUAGCCGGCCUGAGAGGGUGAUCGGCCACAUUGGGACUGAGAUACGGCCCAGACUCCUACGGGAGGCAGCAGUGGGGAAUAUUGCACAAUGGGCGGAAGCCUGAUGCAGCGACGCCGCGUGAGGGAUGACGGCCCUCGGGUUGUAAACCUCUUUCAGUAGGGACGAAGCGUAAGUGACGGUACCUGCAGAAGAAGCACCGGCUAACUACGUGCCAGCAGCCGCGGUAAUACGUAGGGUGCGAGCGUUGUCCGGAAUUACUGGGCGUAAAGAGCUCGUAGGCGGUUUGUCACGUCGUCUGUGAAAUCCUAGGGCUUAACCCUGGACGUGCAGGCGAUACGGGCUGACUUGAGUACUACAGGGGAGACUGGAAUUUCUGGUGUAGCGGUGGAAUGCACAGAUAUCAGGAAGAACACCGAUGGCGAAGGCAGGUCUCUGGGUAGUAACUGACGCUGAGGAGCGAAAGCAUGGGUAGCGAACAGG
RNAcentral lists this ribosomal RNA (736 nucleotides) under uncultured Actinomycetes bacterium. RNAcentral's name for it is "bacterial SSU rRNA". It matches the Rfam family "Bacterial small subunit ribosomal RNA", at positions 28 to 776 of the family's 1533-position model. The record is from RNAcentral. Lineage: Bacteria; Bacillati; Actinomycetota; Actinomycetes.